Molecule: ribosomal RNA, 406 nt
Filed under: uncultured bacterium
Lineage: Bacteria
Description: partial 16S ribosomal RNA
Rfam family: Bacterial small subunit ribosomal RNA
Source: RNAcentral
AUUGAACGCUGGCGGCAGGCCUAACACAUGCAAGUCGAGCGAGCGGCGGACGGGUGAGUAAUGUCUGGGAAACUGCCUGAUGGCGGGGGAUAACUACUGGAAACGGUAGCUAAUACCGCAUACCAUCAGAUGUGCCCAGAUGGGAUUAGCUAGUAGGUGGGGUAACGGCUCACCUAGGCGACGAUCCCUAGCUGGUCUGGGAGGAUGACCAGCCAAACUGGAACUGAGACACGGUCCAUACUCCUAUGGUAGGCAGCAGUGGGGAAUAUUGCACAAUGGGCGCAAGCCUGAGGCAGCCAUGCCGGGUGUGUGAAGAAGGCCUUCGGGUUGUAAAGCACUUUCAGCGGGGAGGCGUUACCCGCAGAAGAAGCACCGGCUAACUCCGUGCCAGCCGCCGCGGUAAUAC